This 292-nucleotide ribosomal RNA is filed under the name uncultured bacterium. Its description in RNAcentral is "partial 16S ribosomal RNA". The record is from RNAcentral.
GGACUACUGGGGUAUCUAAUCCUGUUCGCUACCCACGCUUUCGUACCUCAGUGUCAGUAUUGGCCCAGACAGUCGCCUUCGCCACUGGUGUUCCUUCCGAUAUCUACGCAUUUCACCGCUACACCGGAAAUUCCACUAUCCUCUACCAUACUCUAGAUAACCAGUUUCAGACGCAAUUCCCAGGUUAAGCCCGGGGAUUUCACAUAUGACUUAAUUAUCCACCUACGCACUCUUUACGCCCAGUAAUUCCGAUUAACGCUUGCACCCUCUGUAUUACCGCGGCUGCUGGCAC